UCCCAUCCCGAACACGGCAGUUAAGCUCAUCAGUGCCGAAAAUACUUGGGGGGCAGCCCCCUGGGAAAAUAGGGCGAUGCCGACA
RNAcentral lists this ribosomal RNA (85 nucleotides) under Oscillospiraceae bacterium. The record is from RNAcentral. Lineage: Bacteria; Bacillati; Bacillota; Clostridia; Eubacteriales; Oscillospiraceae.